This 1550-nucleotide ribosomal RNA is filed under the name Klebsiella pneumoniae. RNAcentral describes it as "bacterial SSU rRNA". It matches the Rfam family "Bacterial small subunit ribosomal RNA". Lineage: Bacteria; Pseudomonadati; Pseudomonadota; Gammaproteobacteria; Enterobacterales; Enterobacteriaceae. The record is from RNAcentral.
AAAUUGAAGAGUUUGAUCAUGGCUCAGAUUGAACGCUGGCGGCAGGCCUAACACAUGCAAGUCGAGCGGUAGCACAGAGAGCUUGCUCUCGGGUGACGAGCGGCGGACGGGUGAGUAAUGUCUGGGAAACUGCCUGAUGGAGGGGGAUAACUACUGGAAACGGUAGCUAAUACCGCAUAACGUCGCAAGACCAAAGUGGGGGACCUUCGGGCCUCAUGCCAUCAGAUGUGCCCAGAUGGGAUUAGCUAGUAGGUGGGGUAACGGCUCACCUAGGCGACGAUCCCUAGCUGGUCUGAGAGGAUGACCAGCCACACUGGAACUGAGACACGGUCCAGACUCCUACGGGAGGCAGCAGUGGGGAAUAUUGCACAAUGGGCGCAAGCCUGAUGCAGCCAUGCCGCGUGUGUGAAGAAGGCCUUCGGGUUGUAAAGCACUUUCAGCGGGGAGGAAGGCGUUAAGGUUAAUAACCUCAUCGAUUGACGUUACCCGCAGAAGAAGCACCGGCUAACUCCGUGCCAGCAGCCGCGGUAAUACGGAGGGUGCAAGCGUUAAUCGGAAUUACUGGGCGUAAAGCGCACGCAGGCGGUCUGUCAAGUCGGAUGUGAAAUCCCCGGGCUCAACCUGGGAACUGCAUUCGAAACUGGCAGGCUAGAGUCUUGUAGAGGGGGGUAGAAUUCCAGGUGUAGCGGUGAAAUGCGUAGAGAUCUGGAGGAAUACCGGUGGCGAAGGCGGCCCCCUGGACAAAGACUGACGCUCAGGUGCGAAAGCGUGGGGAGCAAACAGGAUUAGAUACCCUGGUAGUCCACGCCGUAAACGAUGUCGAUUUGGAGGUUGUGCCCUUGAGGCGUGGCUUCCGGAGCUAACGCGUUAAAUCGACCGCCUGGGGAGUACGGCCGCAAGGUUAAAACUCAAAUGAAUUGACGGGGGCCCGCACAAGCGGUGGAGCAUGUGGUUUAAUUCGAUGCAACGCGAAGAACCUUACCUGGUCUUGACAUCCACAGAACUUUCCAGAGAUGGAUUGGUGCCUUCGGGAACUGUGAGACAGGUGCUGCAUGGCUGUCGUCAGCUCGUGUUGUGAAAUGUUGGGUUAAGUCCCGCAACGAGCGCAACCCUUAUCCUUUGUUGCCAGCGGUUAGGCCGGGAACUCAAAGGAGACUGCCAGUGAUAAACUGGAGGAAGGUGGGGAUCAUGUCAAGCCAUCAUGCCCCUUACCACCAGGGCUACACACGUGCUACAAUGGCAUAUACAAAGAGAAGCGACCUCGCGAGAGCAAGCGGACCUCAUAAAGUAUGUCGUAGUCCGGAUUGGAGUCUGCAACUCGACUCCAUGAAGUCGGAAUCGCUAGUAAUCGUAGAUCAGAAUGCUACGGUGAAUACGUUCCCGGGCCUUGUACACACCGCCCGUCACACCAUGGGAGUGGGUUGCAAAAGAAGUAGGUAGCUUAACCUUCGGGAGGGCGCUUACCACUUUGUGAUUCAUGACUGGGGUGAAGUCGUAACAAGGUAACCGUAGGGGAACCUGCGGUUGGAUCACCUCCUUACCUUAAAGAA